GGUUCGAUGGUGUAGUUGGUUAUCACGUCUGUCUCACAAGCGUUCAGCUGGGCUUGAACAUGUGCACACAGGAGGUCUCCGGUUCGAACCCGGGUCGAACCA
This 102-nucleotide transfer RNA is filed under the name Polyporus arcularius HHB13444. It matches the Rfam family "tRNA". From Rfam's summary of the family: Transfer RNA (tRNA) molecules are approximately 80 nucleotides in length. Their secondary structure includes four short double-helical elements and three loops (D, anti-codon, and T loops). Further hydrogen bonds mediate the characteristic L-shaped molecular structure. tRNAs have two regions of fundamental functional importance: the anti-codon, which is responsible for specific mRNA codon recognition, and the 3' end, to which the tRNAs corresponding amino acid is attached (by aminoacyl-tRNA synthetases). tRNAs cope with the degeneracy of the genetic code in two manners: having more than one tRNA (with a specific anti-codon) for a particular amino acid; and 'wobble' base-pairing, i.e. permitting non-standard base-pairing at the 3rd anti-codon position. The record is from Rfam by way of RNAcentral. Lineage: Eukaryota; Fungi; Basidiomycota; Agaricomycetes; Polyporales; Polyporaceae.